RNAcentral lists this ribosomal RNA (402 nucleotides) under uncultured bacterium. RNAcentral's name for it is "bacterial SSU rRNA". It matches the Rfam family "Bacterial small subunit ribosomal RNA", at positions 355 to 774 of the family's 1533-position model. The record is from RNAcentral.
UGGGGGAUAUUGCACAAUGGGGGAAACCCUGAUGCAGCGACGCCGCGUGAGUGAAGAAGUAUUUCGGUAUGUAAAGCUCUAUCAGCAGGGAAGAAAAUGACGGUACCUGACUAAGAAGCUCCGGCUAAAUACGUGCCAGCAGCCGCGGUAAUACGUAUGGAGCAAGCGUUAUCCGGAUUUACUGGGUGUAAAGGGAGCGUAGACGGCAUGGCAAGUCUGAUGUGAAAGGUGCGGGCUCAACCCACAAACUGCAUUGGAAACUGUCUAGCUAGAGUGUCGGAGAGGUAAGUGGAAUUCCUAGUGUAGCGGUGAAAUGCGUAGAUAUUAGGAGGAACACCAGCGGCGAAGGCGGCUUACUGGACGAUAACUGACGUUGAGGCUCGAAAGCGUGGGGAGCAAACA